UCAUCAUGCCCCUUAUGACCUGGGCUACACACGUGCUACAAUGGUUGGUACAACGAGUUGCGAGUCGGUGACGGCGAGCUAAUCUCUUAAAGCCAAUCUCAGUUCGGAUUGUAGGCUGCAACUCGCCUACAUGAAGUCGGAAUCGCUAGUAAUCGCGGAUCAGCACGCCCGCGGUCCGAUACGUUCCGGCCUU
Molecule: ribosomal RNA, 193 nt
Filed under: uncultured Streptococcus sp.
Lineage: Bacteria; Bacillati; Bacillota; Bacilli; Lactobacillales; Streptococcaceae
Description: partial 16S ribosomal RNA
Rfam family: Bacterial small subunit ribosomal RNA
Source: RNAcentral